Gigantopelta aegis is the source of this 624-nucleotide long non-coding RNA. RefSeq lists it as uncharacterized. The record is from RefSeq and is a predicted model, not a curated record. The transcript has 4 exons. Lineage: Eukaryota; Metazoa; Mollusca; Gastropoda; Neomphalida; Peltospiridae.
CCAGAUCACGUUAAACAAUGUAUUCGACACACUAGUGGCGUACAAGGUGAAGGCCACGAAUCCGAGAACGCUGACAGUGGAACCGCCAAAAGGCAUCAUUGGUGUCGGACAGCAGGUCACGUUAAACGUCACUCUUCGUGAAGGAGAAGUGGUUUCAUUGCAAAUGAUGAUUCAAGUGGUGCCCGUGUCGGCAGAACUCAGUAAAAAGACUGUCGACUCUUUGCUGAAAGACCUGGCACCCAAGAUGACGAGUACAAACAUUAAAGUAAAGCGAGUAGUUCCAAUCUUAGACGAACCGAUAUUUUACAGCUGCAAGUCGACAGCUCCAGAUGAUGAAGAUUUCAGUCCCGCAAAAUCGAAAUGGUGGAAAUAAUUCAUAAAACAAUACCGGUUGAAUUUUAUAACGAUAUCGUCAAAACAUUUCUUGACACAUUCAGUGUUGGUUCUGAAGAUUUGUGUGUUAUCAGAAUUAUCAGGGAUUCCUAGAUAUGUGAGCUGUUUAAAAGAAUGAAAGUUUUAUUGUAUUCGUAACUGUCAUGUUCAAAUUAAAAAAUGAAUGAUCUACAAUGUUAUCCAUAUGUUGUGUAUUAAUUGUGCAGCCUAUUAUAAUUUCUUUUAUAUGUU